Long non-coding RNA from Passer domesticus (house sparrow), 758 nucleotides. RefSeq lists it as uncharacterized. The record is from RefSeq and is a predicted model, not a curated record. The transcript is spliced from 3 exons. NCBI's taxonomy places the organism in Eukaryota, Metazoa, Chordata, Aves, Passeriformes, Passeridae.
UGGAAGAUUGCAACAGCGCGAACCUACAAGAGGAAGAUGGUUCCCCCAAAGCCUGACAUGCCCUUUCAGAACCACCUCACUGCCUUGCAGGCUGAAAAGGGAAGGAAGAUUUAUCACAUCAGGAGAGAGGGGACCUACAAGAGAGCUGGAGAGGACCUUUCUUCAAGGGUCCAUAACCUUUCAAUGCUGCCAUGAAGCAAGUUUAAGGAACAGCUCACUGACCCACACUACUGAGGAGGAAUCUGCUCCAGGUUGGGGAAGAGGGUGCCAUUUCUUGGAGCCAUGUCCCUCCUGCUCCAGACAGAAGUCUCCAAAGACCAAAGAAUGAUCCUGCAGCCAUUCAGCCUCUCCAGAGCAAGACCUGAGAUCUGGGGACUGUUCCUCUGAGUGUGAUGUACUCCACCUGAAAUGAAACAUCUGCAACAGCAACCUGCCCACCACUGCUUCUCCAGAAGUCCAGUGGCUCCAGGGAGCAUGGAGUGUUUCUGCUUAAAACUUAAGAGAUGGGCACUCCCUUUCAGCACAGCUGAAAAGGGCAUUUCAGGAAGGAUUUGGCCAACCAAGGCAUGAGAAUCACCCAAGAAAAUUACACAGGACAGUGAAAAUCAUUACCUGUAUGCUCCCCUGUAUUGUGCCAUUAUUUCCCAGCCCAGGGAUAAUGAAAUGUAAACAAAGGACUUUAAUGGUGGUGACUGCAUAAAAUCAGUUCCUGGGAGCUAUUAAAACUGAGGUUUAACAGAAUCGUGAGUCUUUGAAAG